RNAcentral lists this transfer RNA (518 nucleotides) under Sphingomonas sp. SLAU-17. RNAcentral describes it as "partial 16S-23S ribosomal RNA intergenic spacer". The stretch from base 109 to 181 matches the Rfam family "tRNA". Lineage: Bacteria; Pseudomonadati; Pseudomonadota; Alphaproteobacteria; Sphingomonadales; Sphingomonadaceae. The record is from RNAcentral.
GGUACGGCUGUACUCUUUUGAGCAGACAGCAUCGUCCUGUCGGGCGUCUUCACAAAGUACCUGCAUUCAGAGAAUCACGUCGGCCAGGCCGAUGUGAGAGUCCCUUUUGGGGCCUUAGCUCAGCUGGGAGAGCACCUGCUUUGCAAGCAGGGGGUCGUCGGUUCGAUCCCGACAGGCUCCACCAUGUUUGAGUUUGUUCAGGAAAGUUUUUCCGGGUCUGUAGCUCAGGUGGGUAGAGCGCACCCCUGAUAGGGGUGAGGUCGGUAGUUCGAGUCUACCCAGCCCCCCAUUCUCUGAAUGACGAUAAAUUCUAUCUUUAUAGCAUCGGACUGGGGCUGGGACGUGUCUUUUAAACCUGUGACGUACCAGCGUUGGAAGUUCCAUCAACUGGCGUGAGGCUAGGCAGAGACCCAGUCUCUUAUUGAUGAUCGUAAUUCCGAUCCGGGCUUCGACCCCGGGUCAUCGAACCCAGGCAACUUGUGUUAUAGGCCACGAUAGCCGCGUCUCCUAGAAAAUUU